Molecule: ribosomal RNA, 1243 nt
Filed under: uncultured bacterium
Lineage: Bacteria
Description: partial 16S ribosomal RNA
Rfam family: Bacterial small subunit ribosomal RNA
Source: RNAcentral
AGAUUAGAGUUUGAUCAUGGCUCAGAUUGAACGCUGGCGGCAUGCUUUACACAUGCAGGUCGAACGGCAGCACGGACUUCGGUCUGGUGGCGAGUGGCGAACGGGUGAGUAAUACAUCGGAACGUGCCCAGUUGUGGGGGAUAACUACUCGAAAGAGUAGCUAAUACCGCAUGAGAACUGAGGUUGAAAGCAGGGGAUCGUAAGACCUUGCGCAACUGGAGCGGCCGAUGGCAGAUUAGGUAGUUGGUGGGAUAAAAGCUUACCAAGCCGACGAUCUGUAGCUGGUCUGAGAGGACGACCAGCCACACUGGGACUGAGACACGGCCCAGACUCCUACGGGAGGCAGCAGUGGGGAAUUUUGGACAAUGGGCGAAAGCCUGAUCCAGCAAUGCCGCGUGCAGGAUGAAGGCCUUCGGGUUGUAAACUGCUUUUGUACGGAACGAAAAGCUUCGGGUUAAUACCCUGGAGUCAUGACGGUACCGUAAGAAUAAGCACCGGCUAACUACGUGCCAGCAGCCGCGGUAAUACGUAGGGUGCAAGCGUUAAUCGGAAUUACUGGGCGUAAAGCGUGCGCAGGCGGUCUUGUAAGACAGAGGUGAAAUCCCCGGGCUCAACCUGGGAACUGCCUUUGUGACUGCAAGGCUGGUGUGCGGCAGAGGGGGAUGGAAUUCCGCGUGUAGCAGUGAAAUGCGUAGAUAUGCGGAGGAACACCGAUGGCGAAGGCAAUCCCCUGGGCCUGCACUGACGCUCAUGCACGAAAGCGUGGGGAGCAAACAGGAUUAGAUACCCUGGUAGUCCACGCCCUAAACGAUGUCAACUGGUUGUUGGGUCUUAACUGACUCAGUAACGAAGCUAACGCGUGAAGUUGACCGCCUGGGGAGUACGGCCGCAAGACUAAAACUCAAAUGAAUUGACGGGGGCCCGCACAAGCGGUGGAGCAUGUGGUUUAAUUCGAUGCAACGCGAAAAACUUUCCUGGUCUUGACAUAGUAAGAACUUUCCAGAGAUGGAUGGGGCCUUCGGGAACUUACAUACAGGUGUUGCAUGUUGUCGUAAGCUCGUGUCGUGAGAAGGUUGGGUUAAGUCCCCCAACGAGCGGCACCCUUUUCCUUUAUUGGCCAGACCUUCGUGUGGGGAUCUUAUAGGGUAUACUGGCCAGUGGUACAACUGAUGUAAGGCGGGUACGGACGUCAGGUCAUCAUGGCCUUACGCGACACGAGGGGCUCAAUCACACGUGGGUGGCU